This 207-nucleotide ribosomal RNA is filed under the name uncultured bacterium. RNAcentral describes it as "partial 16S ribosomal RNA". It matches the Rfam family "Bacterial small subunit ribosomal RNA", at positions 1294 to 1500 of the family's 1533-position model. The record is from RNAcentral.
CGGAUUGUAGGCUGCAACUCGCCUACAUGAAGUCGGAAUCGCUAGUAAUCGCGGAUCAGCAUGCCGCGGUGAAUACGUUCCCGGGCCUUGUACACACCGCCCGUCACACCAUGAGAGUUUGUAACACCCAAAGCCGGUGGGGUAACCUUUUGGAGCCAGCCGUCUAAGGUGGGACAGAUGAUUGGGGUGAAGUCGUAACAAGGUAGC